UAAGGAAGAGUAGGAAGAAAGCUGAAAUAUUAACAUCGUAAAACAAAAAGCAAAAACCAAAUCAAAAGUAGGUAGGUAGGGUUUCAUGGAGGAGCAAAACACAAGGGCCACUCGCGUCGUCGCGCCGCUGCAGGUUGUGCCGCCGCCGGUGUGGGAGGGAGGGGAGAGAGGAGGAGGCACAGGAGGAGGAAUAGGGCAGCCACGGCGUGCUGCUCGCGGCCGGUGCCGUCGCCGUCGCCCCUGGCGUUGGGAGGACGAGGGAGGAGCCCCACUCGCGUCGCUGCAGGCUGUGCCGCCGCUUGGUGCCCGCUGCCGACGCGGGAGGGGAGGGGAGAGAGGAGCUAUUCCGAAGAAAAAUACUAAAUAUUAUACUAUUCUGUAGGUAUCAUUGUGUUUGACUCACCCAUACUAUGCAGGAGCUUCACAGUAAGCAUGCAUCGAAUGAAGGCAACAAAUCUGGUGUUCGUAGAGGAACCCUAAGGAAGAGUAGGAAGAAAGCUGAAAUAUUAACAUCGUAAAACAAAAAGCAAAAACCAAAUCAAAAGUAGGUAGGUAGGGUUUCAUGGAGGAGCAAAACACAUGCGCCACUCGUGUCGUCGCGCCGCUGCAGGUUGUGCCGCCGCCGGUGUGGGAGGGAGGGGAGAGAGGAGGAGGCACAGGAGGAGGAGGAAUAGGGCAGCCACGGCGUGCUGCUCGCGGCCGGUGCCGUCGCCGUCGCCCCUG
Molecule: long non-coding RNA, 723 nt
Filed under: Sorghum bicolor (sorghum)
Lineage: Eukaryota; Viridiplantae; Streptophyta; Magnoliopsida; Poales; Poaceae
Description: long non-coding RNA (SBIC_LNC007342)
Source: RNAcentral